RNAcentral lists this ribosomal RNA (632 nucleotides) under Heteroscytonema sp. MOR378. RNAcentral's name for it is "bacterial SSU rRNA". It matches the Rfam family "Bacterial small subunit ribosomal RNA", at positions 114 to 777 of the family's 1533-position model. The record is from RNAcentral. Lineage: Bacteria; Bacillati; Cyanobacteriota; Cyanophyceae; Nostocales; Heteroscytonemataceae.
CGCGUGAGAAUNUGGCUCUAGGUCUGGGACAACAGUUAGAAAUGACUGCUAAUACCGGAUGUGCCGCGAGGUGAAAGAUUUAUNUGCCUGGAGAUGAGCUCGCGUCUGAUUAGCUAGUUGGUGGGGUAAAGGCUUACCAAGGCGACGAUCAGUAGCUGGUCUGAGAGGAUGAUCAGCCACACUGGGACUGAGACACGGCCCAGACUCCUACGGGAGGCAGCAGUGGGGAAUUUUCCGCAAUGGGCGAAAGCCUGACGGAGCAAUACCGCGUGAGGGAGGANAGGCUCUUGGGUUGUAAACCUCUUUUCUCAAGGAAGAACACAAUGACGGUACUUGAGGAAUAAGCAUCGGCUAACUCCGUGCCAGCAGCCGCGGUAAUACGGAGGAUGCAAGCGUUAUCCGGAAUGAUUGGGCGUAAAGCGUCCGCAGGUGGUAUUGUAAGUCUGCUGUUAAAGCGUGAGGCUCAACCUCAUAAGGGCGGUGGAAACUACAAAACUAGAGUACGUUCGGGGCAGAGGGAAUUCCUGGUGUAGCGGUGAAAUGCGUAGAUAUCAGGAAGAACACCGGUGGCGAAAGCGCUCUGCUAGGCCGUAACUGACACUGAGGGACNAAAGCUAGGGGAGCNAAUGGGA